UACAGAGGUCCCAAGCGUUGUUCGGAUUCAUUGGGCGUAAAGGGUGCGUAGGCGGCGCGGUAAGUCGGGUGUGAAAUCUCGGGGCUUAACUCCGAAACUGCAUUCGAUACUGCGGUGCUUGAGGACUGGAGAGGAGACUGGAAUUUACGGUGUAGCAGUGAAAUGCGUAGAGAUCGUAAGGAAGACCAGUGGCGAAGGCGGGUCUCUGGACAGUUCCUGACACUGAGGCACGAAGGCCAGGGGAGCAAACGGG
Molecule: ribosomal RNA, 253 nt
Filed under: uncultured bacterium
Lineage: Bacteria
Description: partial 16S ribosomal RNA
Rfam family: Bacterial small subunit ribosomal RNA
Source: RNAcentral